Molecule: long non-coding RNA, 4279 nt
Filed under: Olea europaea subsp. europaea
Lineage: Eukaryota; Viridiplantae; Streptophyta; Magnoliopsida; Lamiales; Oleaceae
Source: RNAcentral
CGUGACUGAAAAAGGUGUUGCAUGAUAUUACACCAGAAUCAGAAAAAUACACAAAGUAUAGUUCAGUAAUAAUUUCUGUCAAAACAUCACAGACUCCAUUCGACUACAGGACUCAAGGUAUCAUCGAUUUUGGGCUCAGAGACACAUUGUAUCCUUCUGUACAACAGGAAACCCCAAAUAUCCCAAGCCAAAAUAGACUCGACUUGGCUACUUCAACGGACCGACUGAAAAACCCCCCAAAAACCAGAAUCAACUCCUUUCCUUUCUCUAGAAUCACAUAGACUCUUUAGAUCACAAAGAAUACCACCCAAGAUCACAGAAGAUUCAAGGGAAAACCACAAAGUAGACGAAGAGAGAUCGAAGGAAGAAAAGAGACGAUUCAGAAAACCCUAGUCUAGAGUGUUCUAAAACUGUUCGAGAGAAAAACGCGUAAAAUGAGAUUAGGUUAGGAAAAAAUAUCAGACGAUAUAUAUAUAUAUAAGGGCUCAUCACGGUAGAUCUAGAUUAGGGGGAUCCAACGGUCCGGAGUAUCACAUGUGGCCGUGUAUAUGGGCUCGGGUUUUGGGCCUCCUCAUUGUGUUAUCGGGCAAUGUGUGUAGUAUCCAAUCACUUGGGCCCAAUUGUUUGAGUUGUAAUUCCAAAAUUGGCAUCACAAUUCAAACACAUGACAUAUUUUAUUGCUCUCAGACAACCCAGGUCCUUCUCAGGGAGUGAAGUAGGGGUGGGUGCAGCAUCUUAUAGCCUACCUUCGUCAAGAUUAUAUCUGUGUCGACAUGUGUUAGUAACACACAUUUGCUGCAGCUCUAGUUCCCUUAAUAAUUGACUCAAUCACUUGAAUCCAGACCACCUUCAACUAUCCAUCUUAGUUUGUGAGUAUGAAACUGAAGAUUAUUAUUAUUAUUAUUUAGCUCACUUUUAAUUCAUUUAUCUAUAUACAGGUUUUUUCCUUUUGUUUCUUUUUACUGAUCAAAUAAUUUGUUUUUUUUCCUGUGAUAUGUGGCAUUGUUAUAGAGGAUCAUAUGAAACUUAAUGUCGGUGACAAAUUUCAUGAGUAAGAUUGUAAUAUUUAGUUGUUAAUACGUAUGAUUUUAAAAUGAUUUUUGGAAUUCUGCAGGGAAAGCAUAUCUUGGGGCCAUAGUGGCACCAUACCUGAAACAAAUUAUUGUAAAGAUGUAACUGUGAUAAGAGCUUUCUGUUUGCAAGGUAAAGUAGGUGUAGCUUUCCAUCUUUGGAAUAAUACGAUUCAGAAGUGUGCAAUUCCUGAUAUUCUCACGCACAAUUACCUUAUGAAUGCACUUUGCAAAAGCGGUGAUCUGGGAAGGGCAGAGUGGCUUGUUGCUGAGAUGUUAGACCGGGGUCCUUUUCCCACUUGUGCUACCUACAACACGUUAAUGAAGGGUUAUUGCAUUAGGAAUAAUGUGGAUAAAGCUUUGGAUCUUUUUUCUACCAUGGCUAGUCUUGGGAUUACACCAAACAUAGUUUCAUGUAAUAUUCUUGUUGAUGGACUUUGCAAGAAGGGUUUGUUGGAGGAUGCCAGAAAGCUUCUUGAGAAAAUAUUGGUUGAUGAUCAUGAUGGAAAAACCUCAAAUAUGAUAACCUCGACUAUCCUAAUGGAUGGUUACUUCAAAACUGGAAAUAUUGUUGAAGCCCUCACUUGUUUGGAGGAGAUAUUCCAAAGUGGCAUAAGGAUGGAUGUCGUUGCAUAUAAUGUCAUCAUACAUGGAUUUUGUUUGAAUGGACACAUGAACCUUGUGUAUAAGUACAUAAGCGAAAUGUUUAAAUGUGGUUGCCUGCCAGAUGUGUUUACAUACAAUAUCCUUAUUGGCAUGCUUUGCAAAGAAGGAAAGACAAAUGAGGCUUGCUACGUCUUUAACGUGAUGUCAAGAAUGGGUGAGACCCCUGAUCACAUCACAUACAAAGUGUUAAUUCACGGUUUAUGUAUUAGUGGAGAUGUAGAUAAAGCUAAUGCUUACCUUCACUGCAUGUUAGUAAAUUCGAUUAUACCUGAGCCACUCAUUUGGAAUGUCAUAAUUGAUGGCUAUGGGAGGCAUGGAGAUAUACAAAAAGCUUUCUUUGUGAGAGACCAAAUGGUUGCAUUUGGUGUUCUGCCCAAUAUAUAUACAUAUAAUAUCAUGAUUCACACAGUAAUAAGAAAUGGAAAUAUUGAUGACGCUCACUAUCUGAAGAAGGAGAUGCUCUUAAAUGGUCCUUUCCCCGAUUUAGUCACUUACAAUCUGUUUGUGCAUGCUGCUUGUAAUCUCGGUCAUAUUAAUUCUGCACUCCGGCUGCAUAAUGAAAUGCUGAGAAGAGGAUUUGAUCCAGAUAUAAUAACUUAUACUGAACUACUCAAGUGUCAUUGUCUGAGAGGUAAAUUGAAGGAUGCAGAAGAGCUCUUUAUCAAGAUAUGGGAGUCAGGUUUACCAAUUGAUCAUGUUCCAUUUCUAAUACUCAUGAAGAAGUAUUUCAAGAUGAGAGAUCUUGACAAAGCAUAUGAUCUUUAUCAAAUGUGGUUAAAGAGGGGAAGUUGAAAAUAGCUCUAUAUCAAGGCACAGUGGUCAGGUUUACCUGUUGACCAUGUUCCAUCUCUAAUACUCAUGGAGAAGUACUGCAAGACACGAGAGAGAGAGAGCUAGCGAGCGAGUACUUGACCUUUGUCAAAUAUGGUUUAAGAGGGAAAAUGAGAAUGCUGUCUUUGCGCAUUGAUCAUUUCUCAGUUUUCUGAUCCAGAAUGUCUGCAGUUGUUUCUCAAUUUUUCUAGUUUCAGGUGGUAAAAGCUUCCUGCUCAUUACGUUAUGGCUGGGAUCUGCUUUUGCAGGUAUAGUCUUUAUUUCUGUUCUUUUCUCUCUUUUUGCUAGUUUUAAUUUAAUAUUGUAAUUCUCAAUUUCUUUCUGUUUCUGUCUGUCUCUUUCUUUAUGUUAUUGCAUUAUAUAUUUCUAUCGUAUGUUAGAAGAUCUCUCAUUCAGGAAUCCUUUUCCUUCUAGCAUUAAGUGCUGAGAGUGAAUUGGGAUUUUCGUUUUUCUUCUUCUGUAAGAAAUUUAGAAUGGUGCUAUGUAUGGUUCAUUGUCUGAUGCUGUUUACAGAAAUCUGGACUUAGAUAUAUUAUACGUGAGCAAUCUAUCUUGUGUUUUAUGCGUAAAAGUUUGGCUGAUUUAAAAGAUGUAUGUUAGACAAUGAUGUUUUUAAUUUCAACCUGAUAAUAUUAAUGUUGAUAAUUAUUAGAUCGCUCACUUUUUCUUUUUUAAUAAAUGAUAUUAAUAUUAAAGUUGACAUUUCUUGAACAAUUGUUGAAUGAAUUAUAUAUUAGAUGAUAUAUAUAAGGAUGCAAUCUCGUGACAAAAGGUCGUAGUUCUUCAAAUGACAAGUUUUUGCUUCAUCUCACAUUUCAUACUUGCUAUAGAAAUUAUGCGUUGAAUUUUUUGCAUAUUUCAUAUUUUUCUUAUCAAAUAUUCCAAUGUAUAACGACAGCUUCCUUUUAUGCAGUUCUUUUACCAAUUUCUCUUUAUUAUUUAAUGACUAAAAUCCCUGCUUUUUUGACAUUCUCAGUUCUACAGAUAAUACUUGAUGGUUGAGCAUGCCCCUUAACAGGGCCUGCGGCACCCCAUGAAGAGAACGAGCCUGCUGAUGUAUGCCUAUGAAUGACGAGCCUUGCAGCUGGCUAGCAAGAUACAGAAAACUGGAAGGAAAAUAUGUAGGAUUUCUUAUUCACUGGUCCCUGUGCGGUUUGGGAGAUCUUAUUUAUGGAAACGAGACAUAUAUCCCUUAUGCCGUACCCAAUGGAAUUUCAUUUAGCGUCAAGGCACGAGUUCACAUUAUUGCUCAAUAACCCUCUUGCCGCUCCAGGCUUGGUACCAACUAUUAGGAUUAGAAGCUAGGUGAUCAAGCUUCUAUGUCCUUGGGCUUUAUAUGUUGAAAACACUGACUUUUCAUUUGUUUUCUUUAAUUGUAGUUGCUAAACCCUGAUGUUCUUUUCAUUGUUUUCCUCAGGAACUAUGUGAUAUCUUCAGAUGACUGUAAAUUCAAGACCCGGGGAUAGUGUAAGAUUCUGUACCAUAAAACUCAAUUGGGAUUUUAAAUCCCAAGUUUAAGUUCGCAGCGACGUUCACAUUGUUAGCAAAGGAUAAUCUGUGCGUCUAGCCGAGCUUAAAAGUAAUUUUAUUUUAGAACAUGUUUGGUUAUGUUAUUUUUUUGUAUGUAUUUUGUAAAUGUAGCUAAGCGUUUACUUGUCAAGUAGAUGGAUAAAUUUUAAAAUAAAUAAAUAUUUUAAUCAAAAUUUGGCAUA